RNAcentral lists this unclassified non-coding RNA (382 nucleotides) under uncultured bacterium. RNAcentral's name for it is "contains 16S-23S intergenic spacer region". The record is from RNAcentral.
UCCGAGUUGACCCCGGCAGUCUCCUGAGAGUGCCCGGCAUUACCCGGUAGCAACACAGGACAAGGGUUGCGCUCGUUGCGGGACUUAACCCAACAUCUCACGACACGAGCUGACGACAGCCAUGCAGCACCUGUGUCCAGGUUCCCUUUCGGGCACCACUGCAUUUCUGCAGCGUUCCUAGCAUGUCAAGGGUAGGUAAGGUUUUUCGCGUUGCAUCGAAUUAAACCACAUGUUCCACCGCUUGUGCGGACCCCCGUCAAUUCCUUUGAGUUUUAAUCUUGCGACCGUACUCCCCAGGCGAAUCACUUAACGCGUUAGCUUCGACACCAAUCCAGCAAAGCCGAACUGACAUCCAGUGAUUAUCGUUUACAGCGUGGACUAC